This 873-nucleotide long non-coding RNA is filed under the name Trifolium pratense (red clover). RNAcentral describes it as "long non-coding RNA (TPRA_LNC000342)". Lineage: Eukaryota; Viridiplantae; Streptophyta; Magnoliopsida; Fabales; Fabaceae. The record is from RNAcentral.
CACCGAUGUGAAUUAGAGAAACACGGUAAGGUAAGAUGCACUUAAGCGGUUCUAUAAAUAGAAACUUUGUGCUGAAAUGCAAAUCCACUCAUCUGAUAUACUAGGUAUUUGACUUUUAUACUCCUUUUCCAUAUCUAAAAUAUACUAGUUGUUUUAAAAAAAACAACAACAAAUUUCUAAUAAAAUGUAAAAUCUUUACUUGAUAUAGUUGCUCCUGUACUCUAUCAAGCAAGAAGAAUCAACUUGCAAGUUAGUGAAAAGAUUGCGCCAUACGGUAAGUAUACUAUAGUUUAACAAAAUCAUUACUUAGUAAAACAAUUAAGCACCAUGUUCAUUGCAUAUGUGUACCUAUUUUAGACUCAAUUUGCAUAAUCCUAUAACUACUUAAAGUAUAUAUGCAGUAUAUAUAUUGCUAGCCUUAGCACAUAGCUAGUAAUUCUCAUAUGUACAUGUAUAUUUUGCUAAGAGAGAAGUUGAGAAGAAGAUCCAAACUUCUCUUGUUUGGUUUAGUUAGGAGAGAAAUAGAAGAGAGUGAUUAAAUUAGUGUAGGACCCACACAAAUUGCGAAGAAAGCUGAGAGAGUGUGUCAUUUUUUUUGUUAUUCCAAUUAUGUCCUUUGCUUUAUAUCAAAUUUUACAUGUUGCUUACUGCUUAGGGUGUCAUUGCUAAUAUUUUGAAUGAUAGAUAGAAAAACAAUCUAAUGGCAGUAUAUAGGUAUUAAUUCUCAUAUCUAUGCGUAUAUAUAGGUAGUAUAUAGGCACUUGCUUACAACAACCCUUACCACAAUUUUGAACGAUGUGUGUGUGUGUGUGUGAGCAUCUAAAGUAAUUCUGUAUCUCAAUUAAUUUUUAUUAAUUAGUAGUAGUAUAUAUU